UAAUCUCUUUUUCCUACCUUUAUGCUUGGCAUAAAAUUUUUCCUCUCAUAUUAUUUUGUAUUUUUCCACAUUGUUGUUAGGCUAAUUUUUCAUUCUCCAUUAUUUCCCAAAGUUUUGAUCCAUUGGCAUUGUGCGGCAUUGUGCUCUAGAAUUGCCUGUAAAUGAACCUUCCCAGGUGAUUGCUUGUGAUUUGAAAUUUUUUGUUCACUUGUAUCAUGUAUUAUAGAGUAUGACAGUAAGUGGAUAUAUGCAAUGGAAUCUAUAAGAAUCUUUUACAAAUUCUAACUUCAUCCCAUGCUGUUCUCUUUCUAUUUUUUUUUGGGAACCGGUACCAUCAAAUGAGCCCUUGCCCAUUAUAGACAAGGUUAAUAGGUUUCUUUUCCUGAGGAUGUGAGAUUUUGGGCUCCAACUCUUACAAACUCUAGCCAUGAGUGUGCUAGAUUUUAUUUGAAUCUGG
This 457-nucleotide unclassified non-coding RNA is filed under the name Hevea brasiliensis (rubber tree). The record is from RNAcentral. Lineage: Eukaryota; Viridiplantae; Streptophyta; Magnoliopsida; Malpighiales; Euphorbiaceae.